Molecule: long non-coding RNA, 679 nt
Filed under: Homo sapiens (human)
Lineage: Eukaryota; Metazoa; Chordata; Mammalia; Primates; Hominidae
Description: HSALNT0202827
Source: RNAcentral
CAGAUCAUCUAUCGCCUGAGAGCACAGCGGGAGGGACAAUGAUCGGGAUAAAAACCCAGGCAUUAUUCGAUCCAGUAGCUGUAACCCGCUUUGGGUCCCCUCCCAUUGUGUGGGAGCUCUGUUUUCACUCUGUUAAAUCUUGCAACUUCACACUCUUCUAGUCCGUUUUUGUUCUGGCUUGUUCUGGCUCGAGCUGAGCUUUCAGUCGCCGUCCACCACUGCUGAUCACUGCCCUUGCAGACCCGCUGCUGACUUCCACCCCACCAGAUCCAGCAGCGUGUCUCCUACGCUUCUGAUCCAGGAGGCGCCCAUUGCCGUUCCUAAUGGGGCUAGAGGCUCGCCGUUGUUCCUGCACGGCUAAGUGCCCGGGUUCAUCCUAAUCAAGCUGAACACUAGUUGCUGGGUUCCACAGUUCUCUUCUGUGACCCACGGUUUCUAAUAGAGCUAUAACACUCACCGCAUGGCCCAAGGUUCCAUUCCUUGGAAUCUGUGAGGCCAAGAACCCCAGGUCAGAGAACAAAAGGCUUCCCGCCAUCUUGGGAGCAGCGCCCUUGGGAGCAGCCUGCCACCAUCUUGGGAACUCUAAGAAAAAAGACCUGCAGAAACGGGGUCUCACCCUGUCACCCAGGCUGAAAUACAGUGGUGUGAUCAUAGCUCACUGCAGCCUCAAACUACUGGG